UGAAUAACCAUAACUGCCAUCGAAAAUGUG
RNAcentral lists this non-coding RNA (30 nucleotides) under Mus musculus (house mouse). Lineage: Eukaryota; Metazoa; Chordata; Mammalia; Rodentia; Muridae. The record is from RNAcentral.